Molecule: ribosomal RNA, 397 nt
Filed under: uncultured bacterium
Lineage: Bacteria
Description: partial 16S ribosomal RNA
Rfam family: Bacterial small subunit ribosomal RNA
Source: RNAcentral
AUACGUAGGUGACAAGCGUUAUCCGGAUUUACUGGGCGUAAAGGGCGUGUAGGCGGUCUUGCAAGUCAGAAGUGAAAUUCCUGAGCUCAACUCGGGCGCUGCUUCUGAAACUGCAGGACUUGAGUGCUGGAGGGGAUAGCGGAAUUCCUAGUGGAGCGGUAACAUGCGCAGAAAUUAGGAAGAACACCGGUGGCGAAGGCGGCUGUCUGGACAUUAACAGACGCUGAGGCGCGAAAGCGUGGGGAACAAACAGGAAUAGAUACCCGGGCACACCACGCCGUAAACGAUGAAUACUAGGUAUAGGGGGUAUCGACUCCCUCUGUCCCGCAGUUAACACAAUUAGGAUUCCGCCUGGGGAGUUCGGCCGCAAGGUUGAAACUCAAAGGAAUUGACGGGG